Molecule: transfer RNA, 60 nt
Filed under: Kolla paulula
Lineage: Eukaryota; Metazoa; Arthropoda; Insecta; Hemiptera; Cicadellidae
Description: tRNA-Arg
Source: RNAcentral
ACAAAGAAGUAAAAUAUUACAUUUAGUUUCGACCUAAAAAUAGAACUAGCAUUCCAUGUU